CAGUCGAACGAACCGCGACUAGGUGCUUGCACUUGGUCAAGGUGAGUGGCGAACGGGUGAGUAACACGUGGGUAACCUACCUCAUAGUGGGGGAUAACAGUCGGAAACGACUGCUAAUACCGCAUAGGACAUGGAAUCACAUGAUUCAGUGAGGAAAGGUGGCGCAAGCUAUCGCUAAGAGAUGGACCCGCGGUGCAUUAGCUAGUUGGUAGGGUAAAGGCCUACCAAGGCGAUGAUGCAAUAUAGCCGACCUGAGAGGGUGAUCGGCCACAUUGGGACUGAGACACGGCCCAAACUCCUACGGGAGGCAGCAGUAGGGAAUCUUCCGCAAUGGACGCAAGUCUGACGGAGCAACGCCGCGUGAGUGAAGAAGGUCUUCGGAUCGUAAAGCUCUGUUGUUAGAGAAGAACAGCGCAUAGAGUAACUGCUAUGCGUGUGACGGUAUCUAACCAGAAAGCCACGGCUAACUACGUGCCAGCAGCCGCGGUAAUACGUAGGUGGCGAGCGUUGUCCGGAUUUAUUGGGCGUAAAGGGAGUGUAGGCGGUCUUUUAAGUCUGAUGUGAAAGCCCACGGCUCAACCGUGGAGGGUCAUUGGAAACUGGGAGACUUGAGUGCAGAAGAGGAGA
This 627-nucleotide ribosomal RNA is filed under the name uncultured bacterium. RNAcentral's name for it is "bacterial SSU rRNA". It matches the Rfam family "Bacterial small subunit ribosomal RNA", at positions 59 to 660 of the family's 1533-position model. The record is from RNAcentral.